UCAAAUAAUUUGGUGUAUCGUACC
Molecule: non-coding RNA, 24 nt
Filed under: Arabidopsis thaliana (thale cress)
Lineage: Eukaryota; Viridiplantae; Streptophyta; Magnoliopsida; Brassicales; Brassicaceae
Source: RNAcentral